This 72-nucleotide transfer RNA is filed under the name Camelus bactrianus (Bactrian camel). It matches the Rfam family "tRNA". From Rfam's summary of the family: Transfer RNA (tRNA) molecules are approximately 80 nucleotides in length. Their secondary structure includes four short double-helical elements and three loops (D, anti-codon, and T loops). The record is from Rfam by way of RNAcentral. Lineage: Eukaryota; Metazoa; Chordata; Mammalia; Artiodactyla; Camelidae. RNAcentral also lists the same sequence under 2 other names.
GUGGGUAUAGCUCAGUGGUAGAGUGGGUGCUUAGCAUGCAUGAGGUUCUAGGUUCAAUGCCUAGGACCUCCA